UCCCUCCGGGAUCCCUGUUGAAACCCAGGGCGUGUAACCCAUGGGGCAAGUCAACCCGGGGAAAGCCCACGGCGCAUUUGGUCGCUCGCCCACCACGGGCUUUCCUCCCCGAUCCCCGUCAUUUCCACGGAGAAACAAUCCACACCUCCAGGGGUUGGGGAGAAAACCCUCCAGGCGACGGCGCUAGUGGCGGAGAACAGCGCAUCGACCUUCCUCAGGCGACGGUUCCAAAGCGAUGGCCUCGGCGGCGACGACGGCGGCCCAGCGGUCGUCCUUCUCCGGUCCCCAAGACCCCGCUUCAAAGUCUUGUUUCUCCCGUUCAUGCCCAAUGAAUUGUGGUUGCAGAUCUAACGUGAUCCAAAGGCGAAAGGACAGUGCAGCUUGGCCUGGAGAUUGAGACAAACAAAGUUACUACUUCAUGCAUGAUAGGUGAGGUUUCUUGCCGGAAGUUGAUGGAAAUAUUCAAGAAGUUGAUGAUGGAAGUUACUCCGAGCUUAGUAUGGAGCAUGGACAGUUCACAUAACUGCAAUUUAAUAAAUGGAACAAAAUAUUGUAUACUUUUGGACUUGUAACUACAAGUACCAUUUUCCCUGCUGAUGAUGCAUAAUUUGUUUGACUUGACAUGUAAUUAAGACUGGUAUGCAUGUGUGGAUGUGAGUUGAAUAUAUUCUAAAUAUUGUGUAUUUUGAUUUUCCUGAAUUUCCCUUCAAAAUUAUAUUUCAGAUUUUAUUCUCAAUUGUUUUCAACCUCUGUGAAACGGGACAGUAUAUAUACUGGAAUUGCUAUG
This is a long non-coding RNA of Triticum aestivum (bread wheat), 787 nucleotides long. RefSeq lists it as uncharacterized. NCBI's taxonomy places the organism in Eukaryota, Viridiplantae, Streptophyta, Magnoliopsida, Poales, Poaceae. The transcript has 3 exons. The record is from RefSeq and is a predicted model, not a curated record.